CAUCUUGCCGUGCUGUGGCACUGAGCGUGAAGCCAGCAGGCCAGAAGUGGAGCCAAAAGAUGAGGACUACAGACCAGGCGCAGUGGCUCACGCCUGUAAUCCCAACACUUUGGGAGACCGAGGCGGGCAGAUCACGAGACGGGAGUUUCACUCUUUUUGCUCAAGGUGGAGUGCAAUGGCGCGAUCUCGGCUCACUGCGACCUCUGCCUCCCAGAUUCAAGCGAUUCUCCUGCGUCAGCCUCCUGAGUAGCUAAGAUUACAGGCAUGAGCCACCGCGCCCGGCCUAAAAUGUCAUUUUCUUUGUUUGGUGCCACGGGGAAGUGAAAUAGUCCUGAACAAAAUUAUGUAUCCUAUCUGAGGUUGGGAUGAGGUACAGAGGUGGGAAGAAAAAGUCCACAGUCAAGUACAUGGACUGCACAUAUAAGGAGAGCAUGACUGAAAUGCUGAGGGGGCUGCAGGGAGAGGCACGAGUUACUUAGAUGUAGUGAUGACAAGCCUAAGUGAGGCAAAUUGAAGUCCUCAGGGUUUUCUGUGUUUUUGUUUUCCAUGUGGCUAAAAAUUCUGUGAUUUUUGCAUACUACUGCAGAAAUACAGAAUCAGGUCUUUUAUUUCAUGACUUACUGACACUGGCUUAAUUUCUUUGCACGGUUCUACCCUAUUUCCAAAAAGCUAAAGAGAGGAAUGUACUAGACCACCCUCCAUGCUGCACUAUGCCAUAGUCUCUUUUGAGCAUACAUUAUAUUCCCAUCCAUGACAAGCAGCCAGGGCAGAAGAGCUCUCUACAUAUGUGCCACCUUGUCUCCAAAACCUGCUGUCUCCUUUGGACAGACUGGCCCAUCCCUGACCACUGUUCUCCCCUCUGUCUUCAAUUUCUGAUGACAACAGAAGGAGAGAUUCUGUGUUUCCAAGGAUGUCAUUCUCAACCUUGCCUCCACAUUUGAUUUUAUAGAACAACCAAUAAAUGUGGUUUCACCUUCCUUGAGUUU
This 986-nucleotide long non-coding RNA is filed under the name Pongo abelii (Sumatran orangutan). RNAcentral describes it as "lincRNA". The record is from RNAcentral. Lineage: Eukaryota; Metazoa; Chordata; Mammalia; Primates; Hominidae.